Molecule: ribosomal RNA, 521 nt
Filed under: uncultured bacterium
Lineage: Bacteria
Description: bacterial SSU rRNA
Rfam family: Bacterial small subunit ribosomal RNA
Source: RNAcentral
AGAGUUUGAUCAUGGCUCAGGAUGAACGCUAGCGACAGGCUUAACACAUGCAAGUCGAGGGGCAGCACGGGAGUAGCAAUACAACUGGUGGCGACCGGCGCGACGGGUGAGUAACGCGUAUGCAACCUACCUAUCAGGAGGGAAUAACCCGGCGAAAGUCGGACUAAUACCGCAUAAAACAGGGGCACCGCAUGGUGAUAUUUGUUAAAGAGAUUCGCUGAUAGAUGGGCAUGCGUUCCAUUAGGUAGUUGGUGAGGUAACGGCCCACCAAGCCGACGAUGGAUAGGGGAACUGAGAGGUUGGUCCCCCACACUGGUACUGAGACACGGACCAGACUCCUACGGGAGGCAGCAGUGAGGAAUAUUGGUCAAUGGGCGGGAGCCUGAACCAGCCAAGUCGCCGUGAAGGAAGAAGGAUCUAUGGUUCGUAAACUUCUUUUGCAGGGGAAUAAAGUGCAGGACGUGUCCUGUUUUGUAUGUACCCUGAGAAUAAGGAUCGGCUAACUCCGUGCCAGCCGCCGC